AAUCCCCGGGCUCAACCUGGGAAUGGCAAUGGAUACUGGAUAGCUAGAGUGUGGUAGAGGAUGGUGGAAUUCCCGGUGUAGCGGUGAAAUGCGUAGAGAUCGGGAGGAACAUCAGUGGCGAAGGCGGCCAUCUGGAUCAACAGACGCUGAGGCACGAAAGCGUGGGGAGCAAACAGGAUUAGAUACCCUGGUAGUCCACGCCCUAAACGAUGCGAACUGGAUGUUGGUCUCAACUCGGAGAUCAGUGUCGAAGCUAACGCGUUAAGUUCGCCGCCUGGGGAGUACGGUCGCAAGACUGAAACUCAAAGGAAUUGACGGGGGCCCGCACAAGCGGUGGAGUAUGUGGUUUAAUUCGAUGCAACGCGAAGAACCUUCCCUGCCUUGG
Molecule: ribosomal RNA, 385 nt
Filed under: Frateuria sp. CK29
Lineage: Bacteria; Pseudomonadati; Pseudomonadota; Gammaproteobacteria; Lysobacterales; Rhodanobacteraceae
Description: bacterial SSU rRNA
Rfam family: Bacterial small subunit ribosomal RNA
Source: RNAcentral